RNAcentral lists this ribosomal RNA (563 nucleotides) under Arthrobacter sp. MYb214. RNAcentral's name for it is "bacterial SSU rRNA". It matches the Rfam family "Bacterial small subunit ribosomal RNA", at positions 61 to 637 of the family's 1533-position model. The record is from RNAcentral. Lineage: Bacteria; Bacillati; Actinomycetota; Actinomycetes; Micrococcales; Micrococcaceae.
GUCGAACGAUGAAGCCCAGCUUGCUGGGUGGAUUAGUGGCGAACGGGUGAGUAACACGUGAGUAACCUGCCCCCGACUCUGGGAUAAGCCCGGGAAACUGGGUCUAAUACCGGAUAUUACCUUUGACCGCAUGGUUGUUGGUGGAAAGAUUUAUCGGUGGGGGAUGGACUCGCGGCCUAUCAGCUUGUUGGUGAGGUAAUGGCUCACCAAGGCGACGACGGGUAGCCGGCCUGAGAGGGUGACCGGCCACACUGGGACUGAGACACGGCCCAGACUCCUACGGGAGGCAGCAGUGGGGAAUAUUGCACAAUGGGCGAAAGCCUGAUGCAGCGACGCCGCGUGAGGGAUGACGGCCUUCGGGUUGUAAACCUCUUUCAGUAGGGAAGAAGCGAAAGUGACGGUACCUGCAGAAGAAGCGCCGGCUAACUACGUGCCAGCAGCCGCGGUAAUACGUAGGGCGCAAGCGUUAUCCGGAUUUAUUGGGCGUAAAGAGCUCGUAGGCGGUUUGUCGCGUCUGCCGUGAAAGUCCGAGGCUCAACCUCGGAUCUGCCGUGGGUACGGGC